Molecule: transfer RNA, 72 nt
Filed under: human gut metagenome
Rfam family: tRNA
About the family: Transfer RNA (tRNA) molecules are approximately 80 nucleotides in length. Their secondary structure includes four short double-helical elements and three loops (D, anti-codon, and T loops).
Source: RNAcentral
GAGGCGUAGCUCAGUUGGUUAGAGUGCUUGCUUGACAUGCAAGAGGUCACAGGUUCGAUUCCUGUCGUCUCC